UACGUAGGGUCCGAGCGUUGUCCGGAAUUACUGGGCGUAAAGAGCUCGUAGGUGGUUUGUCGCGUUGUUCGUGAAAACUCACAGCUUAACUGUGGGCGUGCGGGCGAUACGGGCAGACUAGAGUACUGCAGGGAGGACUGGAAUUCCUGGUGUAGCGGUGGAAUGCGCAGAUAUCAGGAGGAACACCGGUGGCGAAGGCGGGUCUCUGGGCCUUCCUGACGCUGAGACGCGAAGCGUGG
Molecule: ribosomal RNA, 239 nt
Filed under: uncultured bacterium
Lineage: Bacteria
Description: partial 16S ribosomal RNA
Rfam family: Bacterial small subunit ribosomal RNA
Source: RNAcentral